GUGCCAGCCGCCGCGGUAAUACGGAGGGUGCGAGCGUUGUCCGGAAUCACUGGGCGUAAAGGGCGCGUAGGCGGCCGUGUAAGUCACUUGUGAAAUCCCGGGGCUCAACUCCGGGGCUGCAGGUGAGACUGCAUGGCUAGAGCACGGUAGAGGCGAGUGGAAUUCCCGGUGUAGCGGUGGAAUGCGUAGAUAUCGGGAAGAACACCGGUGGCGAAGGCGGCUCGCUGGGCCGUUGCUGACGCUGAGGCGCGAAAGCGUGGGGAGCAAACAGGAUUAGAAACCCCAGUAGUCC
Molecule: ribosomal RNA, 292 nt
Filed under: uncultured bacterium
Lineage: Bacteria
Description: partial 16S ribosomal RNA
Rfam family: Bacterial small subunit ribosomal RNA
Source: RNAcentral